RNAcentral lists this transfer RNA (73 nucleotides) under Orbicella faveolata. Its description in RNAcentral is "tRNA-Ala". It matches the Rfam family "tRNA". Rfam says of the family: Transfer RNA (tRNA) molecules are approximately 80 nucleotides in length. The record is from RNAcentral. Lineage: Eukaryota; Metazoa; Cnidaria; Anthozoa; Scleractinia; Merulinidae.
GGGGAAUUAGCUCAAAUGGUAGAGCGCCCGCUUUGCAUGCGGAAGGUACCGGGAUCGAUGCCCGGAUUCUCCA